This 426-nucleotide long non-coding RNA is filed under the name Capsella rubella. RNAcentral describes it as "long non-coding RNA (CRUB_LNC003084)". The record is from RNAcentral. Lineage: Eukaryota; Viridiplantae; Streptophyta; Magnoliopsida; Brassicales; Brassicaceae.
UCCCAAACCUGAAAAGAUUCACAAACAUCCAUCCAAACAUUCAUCAAACAUCCAUCCAAACAUUCAACAAAACAUUCACAAAAUAUCAAUCAAGCUUUUAAAUUAUUUAGAUCUAGGAGAGGUUGCAGAAGUGUUUGAGAUGGGUGAAGCAGCUGCUGAAUUGGCUCAUGUGACUGAUACAGUAGCAGGUGCGUUGUCUCCUGUGCCUGGUCCGUUUGCUGUUGUGGUUGUAGGUGUUGUGGCUGGUGCUAGAGGAGGUGGAGUGGCGGCAGUUGCCAUAUACUCUAAAAAUCCAGGAUCAAUGGUUCUCAAGUAGGAGACUAGCAUCUCCAAGCUUAUUAUACGGCUUUGAUCUUGUUCUCGCUCCUCAUCACGCCUUGCAUUUUCUUGGUCAACUUUAGCGAGCUUAACACGAGCAGGUUCAAG